This 54-nucleotide transfer RNA is filed under the name Cayaponia pilosa. Its description in RNAcentral is "partial tRNA-Leu". The record is from RNAcentral. Lineage: Eukaryota; Viridiplantae; Streptophyta; Magnoliopsida; Cucurbitales; Cucurbitaceae.
UAACGCUACGGACUUAAAAUCCGUCGACUUUUAAAAUCGUGAGGGUUCAAGUCC